Molecule: long non-coding RNA, 2042 nt
Filed under: Vitis vinifera (wine grape)
Lineage: Eukaryota; Viridiplantae; Streptophyta; Magnoliopsida; Vitales; Vitaceae
Description: long non-coding RNA (VVIN_LNC007849)
Source: RNAcentral
UCUGAGAGUUGUUGUAACUACAACAACAAGUAAUGGCAACCACAAACCCUUUCGAUCUCUUGGGCGAUGACGACAACGACGACCCCUCUCAGCUUGCUUCUCAUCUGCUCAAGCUCGCGCCUGCUAAGAAAUCCUCAGCGCCUCCUCCUCAGGCCGCUCCUGCGCAGCAGGCUAAGCCGGCUAAGUUGCCCUCUAAGCCUCUUCCCCCGGCUCAGGCUGGUGAGCUUUUCUUAAUUCGUUUAGUUUUCCUGGUUUUUGUUUUCUUUUUGUGAAUAGAUCUAUUUGAUUGUUGCGGAAUUGGGGGAAAUGAAGGAAAGGGGAUGAUUUUGAAUCUUGUGGUUGUUGUAGGUUUGGUUUCCAAAGAAGGGUUGAUAAGUGCUGACGAUGUAUGGAUUCUUUGUAUUUUAUGGUUCUGGGAUUUGUAUUGUGGCUGGACUAUCGGUUGCUUUUGUUUGCAUGUGUUUUUGUUCAGACUUGGUGUCGGUUAACCACUAUAUGUUUGCCACUAAGAAUUGUAGCAUUGGAGCUUAUCUUCCGAUCAUUUAACGGCGUGCUCUAUUGUGUUUGGGUUUGGAAUUUGUUGUGCGUGAAACUUGAAUAUUUGGGCUGAACUUAGAACUGUUCCGCCUGUGUAUUGAUUUGUUGAUGCUUGGUAUUUGAUGUGGACGUUUUGUUUUGCAUACUAUCUGAUGGAACAAGCCUAUAGUAUAAAAUGGGCUCAUUUAUGGAAAAGUUAAUUCUAUACGAACAAACAGGAAAAAGGGUGUACUGAAAUUUUUUUUGAACUCGUGUUGUUAUGGUUUCAUUUCAUAGCAAAGAAACCAUCACCCCAUUAAUAUCUCAAAUAUGCUAGCCUUGAUCAUCUGUAUUCAAUGUAUAAACUCCUUAUCCUAAUCCCAUUUACUUUCGAGUAAUGGCAUCGUCACAAUUGGUUGUGUAUAGACAAUUUUGGAUGCAGAUUGAGACCAUUUUAUACAGUUACUUGAAUAUGGAUUUUCUUUUGUUAAUGGAGUCCUUGAACAAAAUGAAAUUUGUGAACCCAAAUGCUUACAUUGGAACCUUUCAUUUCUAUUAGACAUCUUCAAUUAGCUGCCUUUUGUUAGUUUUUAAUUCCCUUCCUGUUUGUUUAGCUCGUCUUUUAUCUAUUGCAUGCUGAAAAGAGCCCUCCACUACACCCAGUUUUGGAAUUUGACUGUUUAGAAACUCUUGAGGAAAAGAUAAGGGUCCUUAUGUUUUCCUCUGUUUUACUUUUCAAGGAAAAGGAAGCUCAGCUUGAUUGUAUUUUGUUUUCAACUUAAAUGAGGGAUGGAGUUCUACUUUCUUUUGUUUUCCUGUUUUCCUUGUAACCAAAAGCAAAGCCAUUUGACAUCCUAAAUUAUGGAGCUUCAGCAUAUCAUUCUAGCAUUGAAGUAAUGGUUAUUCUCAUCACUUCCUUCUCUUUGUUGUUAAUUUAGUUUCUGCUUUGUGUUUUGUCGGUGAUUGCACUACUGUUGCUCUGAGGAUAUUUCAUAUUCAUAUGGGGUUUUUCAUCUAUGUCUUUACUUUUUUUCCUUUUUUUUUUGUGUGAACAACAUAUAUCAGAAAGUUAAACUUCAUUUUUGGUAUUUUAGGUUUUACUUGAAAUAUUCAUUUGUGUGUUAUAAUAUGAAUUGGUUUGUGGUGGAGGCAUAACAUCAUUGGGUUCUGGUAGUUUUCUUUGAAUAUUUGCUGUUAUAUUAAUUAUUGGUGCUUUUUCUUAAAUGCUUUCUUAAAUAAUGAGGCACCCCCUUUUUUAAUCUAUGGUGUUAGAGGAAUCUAAAACUAGCAUAUGCAUUUGACUUAAGUUUCAAAAUGUAUGUUUGUUUUCUUUUGGACAGUGAGGGAAACAAAGAAUGAAGUUGGGCGCGGAGGCGGCCGUGGCGGUGGACGUGGUUAUGGACGUGGACGUGGUGGAGCUGGAUUGAACAGAGACUCAUUCAAUAACGAAAGUACGCUUAACAACAAUGAUGGAUUCUCUGGAGGGUACAGACCAUCUGAAGAGGGCGAUACAGGCAAAUCUUCUG